This 489-nucleotide long non-coding RNA is filed under the name Gopherus agassizii (Agassiz's desert tortoise). RNAcentral's name for it is "lncRNA (ENSGAGG00000006239.1)". The record is from RNAcentral. Lineage: Eukaryota; Metazoa; Chordata; Testudines; Testudinidae.
CAACAAUCUGUCUACAAAAGGAAAUUUUUAGAAUGGAGACGAUAGUAAUAUGGUAUGUAAUGUGCUGUUUUGCUGCCUCUUUCAGCGCUGCUACUUUGAAACUCUACCCCAGAUUCUGGUUCUCAAUUUGAAGAGAUAUCAGUUUGAUGGUAACUGGUUUAGAAAGCUGAAUUAUGACGUGUCUGUGCCUUUUUCACUGACUGUGAAUUCAGAAGAGCAGCCUAACACACAGUAUGAGCUCUUUGCAAUUUGUCACCAUUCUGGAGGAAUUCACGGUGGCCAUUAUGUGGCUGAGAUAAAGUCAUUUGAAAACGACUGCUGGUACAACUUCAACGACACCACAGUGAGUGAGGUGCAAGAAGAAAGGACCUCAACAGGUGCCACGAACAGUUCCACUGCGUAUCUGUUAAUGUACCGCAUGGUGGCCUGUGAUGCUAAGCCAAGUAAGUGCCGAGUUCUUAUCAUUUACAAGUUGCUGUCAAAGACAAU